AGGUAGGGUGGCCGAGUAGGCGGCGAGUUGUAGCCUCGUGCACGGGUGCCCCCCAACCA
This 59-nucleotide transfer RNA is filed under the name Cyrtodactylus annulatus. Its description in RNAcentral is "tRNA-Tyr". Lineage: Eukaryota; Metazoa; Chordata; Lepidosauria; Squamata; Gekkonidae. RNAcentral also lists the same sequence under 1 other name. The record is from RNAcentral.